CCUACGGGAGGCAGCAGUAGGGAAUCUUCCACAAUGGACGAAAGUCUGAUGCAGCAACGCCGCGUGAGUGAAGAAGGGUUUCGGCUCGUAAAGCUCUGUUGGUAGUGAAGAAAGAUAGAGGUAGUAACUGGCCUUUAUUUGACGGUAAUUACUUAGAAAGUCACGGCUAACUACGUGCCAGCAGCCGCGGUAAUACGUAGGUGGCAAGCGUUGUCCGGAUUUAUUGGGCGUAAAGCGAGUGCAGGCGGUCCAAUAAGUCUGAUGUGAAAGCCUUGGGCUCAACCGGAGAAUUGCAUCAGAAACUGUUGAACUAGAGUGCAGAAGAGGAGAGUGGAACUCCAUGUGUAGCGGUGGAAUGCGUAGAUAUAUGGAAGAACACCAGUGGCGAAGGCGGCUCUCUGGUCUGCAACUGACGCUGAGGCUCGAAAGCAUGGGUAGCGAACAGGAUUAGAUACCCCAGUAGUC
RNAcentral lists this ribosomal RNA (465 nucleotides) under uncultured bacterium. Its description in RNAcentral is "partial 16S ribosomal RNA". It matches the Rfam family "Bacterial small subunit ribosomal RNA", at positions 338 to 795 of the family's 1533-position model. The record is from RNAcentral.